Molecule: long non-coding RNA, 1275 nt
Filed under: Ananas comosus (pineapple)
Lineage: Eukaryota; Viridiplantae; Streptophyta; Magnoliopsida; Poales; Bromeliaceae
Description: long non-coding RNA (ACOM_LNC034175)
Source: RNAcentral
AGAACUACUAUGCUUUCAAAACAUAAGUGAUUUGGUGCUUUCGACUUUUUGACCCCUAGAUCAAUAUUAUAGGGUUGGAAUGAUAGUAAUCUCUCUUAGGAUUGAGUGAUCCCUGAGGGUAAUAAUAUUAAUCUUAAGAUCAGAAAUAGUCAAAGAGAUUGAUCCAAGGACCAAUAAUUUGGAAGCACCAACUCUCUUAUAUUUUCAAAAGCAUAAUAGCUCUACUCAAUAAAUAAUAUAUCAUGUCUACAAAAUUUUCUUUAAUUUAAUUUAUAAUAUAUUUAUAAAGAUUGAAAUUAAAUAUUAUAACAAUAUUAUUCUACCAAAAAAGUGGAAUAGUUUAUUCCAAACUAUUCCAGGAUAAACAAGAAUAGGUAGAUUUAAUCGAAAUAUUUUAACAGGAAUAGCCUCUAAAUGUUAAACUCAUAUUUCCGCUUUAUCUUCGAACCAAAUGGGACCUAACUUAAUUAAAAGGAUUAAUUUUAUACAGAUCCCUACAAACAUAAUAAAUUGCAAAUAUAUAUAUAUCCUUACAAAGUUCAACUUUUAUAUACUAUUCUUGCAAAAGUUCUUAUAUUUUCAAAUAUGUUCUUACUGUUAGGAUCUAUCAGAAAAAAUUAGUUAACCAUAGGUAAAAUAAUUAAUCCUAGUUAGUUAAUGAAGUGAAUUGCCCUUUUUACCCCUCUUUAAUUAAUAGUUGGGACUUUUGGAGGGUCAUAUUUAUGAUGAUAAAAAUGUCAUUUUACUUAUAAAAUAAACAACAUUUUAACGGUAACAAACUAGAGAGAAAUAUUUGAAAAUAUUAGGAUUUUUGCAGAAACAACAUAUGAAAGUCGAACUUUGUAAGAAUAUUUUUGCAAUUCACUAUGUUUGUAGGGACAUGUAUGAAAUUAACACUAGUUAAAAAGUAUUAUAUAAAAUUGUUAUUUGUGGGACCUCACACCAGCUUGGGCCAGAAGCCAAAGCUGGUCAAAACCUAGCUUGGGCCCAAAGCCACUACCCUCUCGAAGCUUCUAGACUCCUCAUGUACUCCUCCGCCGCUUCUUAUAAUUAUAUAUACUUCGCAGCUAGAGAGACAAACACAAUCCCCAGUUCAUUCUAGCAUUUCGUCGAACACAUUGCGCUCGAACGACUAUGGCGAUCGCGAUGGAGAUCCCGAGGGAGUACGGAUACGUCGUCCUCGUCCUCGUCCUCUACUCCUUCCUCAAUUUGUGGAUGGCUUUUCAAGUGGGCAAGGCUCGGAAAAAGUAAUCCUUUGGAUUUUCUCUUCUUUUU